Molecule: ribosomal RNA, 375 nt
Filed under: uncultured eukaryote
Lineage: Eukaryota
Description: partial 18S ribosomal RNA
Rfam family: Eukaryotic small subunit ribosomal RNA
Source: RNAcentral
CAAUAGCGUAUAUUUAAGUUGUUGCAGUUAAAAAGCUCGUAGUUGGAUUUCGGUUAAGAGCGACCGGUCCGCCGUUUGGUGUGCACUGGUUGGUUUUAACUUCCUGUAGAGGACGUGCUCUGGGUUUAACGACCUGGACUCGGAGUCUACGUGGUUACUUUGAAAAAAUUAGAGUGUUCAAAGCGGGCUUACGCUUGAAUAUUUCAGCAUGGAAUAACACUAUAGGACUCCUGUCCUAUUUCGUUGGUCUCGGGACGGGAGUAAUGAUUAAGAGGAACAGUUGGGGGCAUUCGUAUUUCAUUGUCAGAGGUGAAAUUCAUGGAUUUAUGAAAGACGAACUUCUGCGAAANCANNNGCCAAGGAUGUUUUCAUNAA